GACGUCUGUGUAUGGCGCACUUGGCCCGUCUCGGUUACGAGUAUGUGUGCCGGUGUGCGCCUGCCAUCCAUCUGGAGAACAUGAAUCCGCACUUCACUGUGGUGGUUGUUUAUGCACAUCCAGAUCUUUUACUUUGAAAAAAUUAGAGUGUUUAAAGCAGGCUUGUUGCUGUGAAUACAUUAGCAUGGAAUAAUGAUUUAGGACUUUGGUCUUAUUUUGUUGGUUUCUAGGACUAAACGUAAUGAUUGAUAGGGACAGUUGGGGGUGCUAGUAUUCAGCGGCCAGAGGUGAAAUUCUUGGAUUCGCUGAAGACUAACUUAUGCGAAAGCAUU
This 332-nucleotide ribosomal RNA is filed under the name uncultured Cercomonas. Its description in RNAcentral is "SSU rRNA". The stretch from base 108 to 332 matches the Rfam family "Eukaryotic small subunit ribosomal RNA", at positions 731 to 955 of the family's 1831-position model. Lineage: Eukaryota; Cercozoa; Cercomonadida; Cercomonadidae. The record is from RNAcentral.